This 1080-nucleotide unclassified non-coding RNA is filed under the name Hevea brasiliensis (rubber tree). The record is from RNAcentral. Lineage: Eukaryota; Viridiplantae; Streptophyta; Magnoliopsida; Malpighiales; Euphorbiaceae.
CUUUAAUAACCUUGAAUAAUACAAACUAGUAUGCCAGGUUGAUGUGUGGAAUUGCAUGCUAAAAAUGAUUAAACUCUAUGCUACCCUGAUCCUAUUGGAAUCUCUCAACCAUGUAUGUAAUAGAUCCUGAAUGCGAAGGAUACAAAUAAAACCUUUUAUAUUAACAGACCAAUACACAAGAAGUGAAAUUUUACAUAAGGUGCGGAUCAGACCAUCUUCUCUUCAACUCAGAUUUCCACCGAACUUCCUUGAGCAUCCCAUCCAAUCCAUAAUCCCUUUCCAUGACAAGGUUGAUUCCCUCGUCUGAGUACCACCCAACUCCAAUGCAAAGGAUACCAUCUUUGUUAACAUCAACAUAUCCUGUGACACCACCUGGCAGCCAAAGGACAGUCACAUCUUGCAUGUCUACCAUCUCUUCCUCCCCAAAGUAGUUGGGAUUUUCAGGCAAGCUCCUCUUUUUCAAGGUUUCUGUACAAAGGUAAACAUAUGGGGCACUAUUGCUAUCUUCAGUUGCCAUCUCAUCUCCAAAUACUGGAGUAGCAUUCACCUCAAAAACUUUCCACGACCCAGUCAGCUCUGAAGGCUGGGUACGUUUCCUCUGAGAAAAUGGCUUUAGAUCAAACUCCAGAUCACUGUGAUCAUGGAUAUUUGCUGGACUGACCCACUGUUCUUCAUAAACAGCAACUCUCACUAUCUGUAUGUCUGAACCCCCAUUAUUGAAUUCUAUGGUAUGAACAAUACGGAGUCUUUUGUGGCAACCUUUGACCAAACAUUGUUCAAAUUUAAAAGUUGGAGUGAGAUAAUACUUGGAAUCAUCUACUUCACCAACCGGAAUAUUAACUGGACCCCGAGAAUACGAUCCAUCCUCAAAGAAAACAAGCCCUGGUUCAUUGCCCAUGGCAUCUUCUUCCAGCAAAUCACUCUUUUCAAAGUCAAAAGACUUGAAAUCAGGCAAAAUACGACUUGUACCAAGAUCACCUCUUUGGUUUGGAGGUAAAGACGCAUUGACAGUUUUGUCUUCGUCUUUGAUUCCAUUACUGCCUACAACAUGCUGCAGCACUUCGCCAUAAGGAUUUAAAG